Molecule: long non-coding RNA, 857 nt
Organism: Oncorhynchus tshawytscha (Chinook salmon)
Lineage: Eukaryota; Metazoa; Chordata; Actinopteri; Salmoniformes; Salmonidae
Source: Ensembl
GCAGAGAGAAGAGGAGGAGGGACUGGCAGAAAGAAGAUGAGGAGGGACUGGCAGAAAGAAGGGGAGGAGGAGUGGCAGAGAGAUAAGGAGGAGGGACUGGCAGAGAGAAGAUGAGGAGGGACUGGCAGAAAGAAGGGGAGGAGGAGUGGCAGAGAGAAGAUGAGGAGGGACUGGCAGAGAGAAGAGUAGGGGGGGCUAGCAGAGAGAAGAUGAGGAGGGGCUAGCAGAAAGAAGGGGAGGAGGAGUGGCAGAGAGAAGAUGAGGAGGGACUGGCAGAAAGAAGAGGAGGAGGGACUGGCAAGGAGAAGAGUAGGAGGGGCUAGCAGAGAGAAGAUGAGGAGGGACUGGCAGAAAGAAGGGGAGGAGGAGUGGCAGAGAGAAGAUUAGGAGGGACUGGCAGAAAGAAGAGGAGGAGGGACUGGCAGAAAGAAGAGUAGGAGGAAUGGCAGAAACAAGGGGAGGAGGAGUGGCAGAGAGAAGAUGAGGAGGGACUGGCAGAAAGAAGAGGAGGAGGGACUGGCAGAGAGAAGAGUAGGAGGGACUGGCAGAAAGAAGGGGAGGAGGAGUGGCAGAGAGAAGAGGAGGAGGGACUGGCAGAAAGAAGAUGAGGAGGAGGGGCAGAGAGAAGAUGAGGAGGGGAUAGCAGAGAGAAGAUUAGGAGGGACUAGCAGAAAGAAGGGGAGGAGGAGUGGCAGAGAGAGGAUGAGGAGGGACUGGCAGAAAGAAGAGGAGGAGGGACUGGCAGAAAGAAGAUGAGGAGGGACUGGCAGAAAGAAGAGGGGGACUGGCAGAAAGAAGAUGAGGAGGGACUGGCAGAAAGAAGGGGAGGAGGAGUGGUAGAGAGAAGAUGAGGAGGG